Molecule: ribosomal RNA, 1117 nt
Filed under: Limosilactobacillus reuteri
Lineage: Bacteria; Bacillati; Bacillota; Bacilli; Lactobacillales; Lactobacillaceae
Description: bacterial SSU rRNA
Rfam family: Bacterial small subunit ribosomal RNA
Source: RNAcentral
UCUGUUGUUGGAGAAGAACGUGCGUGAGAGUAACUGUUCACGCAGUGACGGUAUCCAACCAGAAAGUCACGGCUAACUACGUGCCAGCAGCCGCGGUAAUACGUAGGUGGCAAGCGUUAUCCGGAUUUAUUGGGCGUAAAGCGAGCGCAGGCGGUUGCUUAGGUCUGAUGUGAAAGCCUUCGGCUUAACCGAAGAAGUGCAUCGGAAACCGGGCGACUUGAGUGCAGAAGAGGACAGUGGAACUCCAUGUGUAGCGGUGGAAUGCGUAGAUAUAUGGAAGAACACCAGUGGCGAAGGCGGCUGUCUGGUCUGCAACUGACGCUGAGGCUCGAAAGCAUGGGUAGCGAACAGGAUUAGAUACCCUGGUAGUCCAUGCCGUAAACGAUGAGUGCUAGGUGUUGGAGGGUUUCCGCCCUUCAGUGCCGGAGCUAACGCAUUAAGCACUCCGCCUGGGGAGUACGACCGCAAGGUUGAAACUCAAAGGAAUUGACGGGGGCCCGCACAAGCGGUGGAGCAUGUGGUUUAAUUCGAAGCUACGCGAAGAACCUUACCAGGUCUUGACAUCUUGCGCUAACCUUAGAGAUAAGGCGUUCCCUUCGGGGACGCAAUGACAGGUGGUGCAUGGUCGUCGUCAGCUCGUGUCGUGAGAUGUUGGGUUAAGUCCCGCAACGAGCGCAACCCUUGUUACUAGUUGCCAGCAUUAAGUUGGGCACUCUAGUGAGACUGCCGGUGACAAACCGGAGGAAGGUGGGGACGACGUCAGAUCAUCAUGCCCCUUAUGACCUGGGCUACACACGUGCUACAAUGGACGGUACAACGAGUCGCAAGCUCGCGAGAGUAAGCUAAUCUCUUAAAGCCGUUCUCAGUUCGGACUGUAGGCUGCAACUCGCCUACACGAAGUCGGAAUCGCUAGUAAUCGCGGAUCAGCAUGCCGCGGUGAAUACGUUCCCGGGCCUUGUACACACCGCCCGUCACACCAUGGGAGUUUGUAACGCCCAAAGUCGGUGGCCUAACCUUUAUGGAGGGAGCCGCCUAAGGCGGGACAGAUGACUGGGGUGAAGUCGUAACAAGGUAGCCGUAGGAGAACCUGCGGCUGGAUCACCUCCUUUCUAAGGAA